RNAcentral lists this ribosomal RNA (253 nucleotides) under uncultured bacterium. Its description in RNAcentral is "partial 16S ribosomal RNA". It matches the Rfam family "Bacterial small subunit ribosomal RNA", at positions 524 to 776 of the family's 1533-position model. The record is from RNAcentral.
UACGGAGGGUGCAAGCGUUAUCCGGAUUCACUGGGUUUAAAGGGUGCGUAGGCGGGGAGGUAAGUCAGUGGUGAAAUCCCCGAGCUCAACUUGGGAACUGCCGUUGAUACUAUCUAUCUUGAAUGUUGUGGAGGUGAGCGGAAUAUGUCAUGUAGCGGUGAAAUGCUUAGAUAUGACAUAGAACACCAAUUGCGAAGGCAGCUCGCUACACAAUUAUUGACGCUGAUGCACGAAAGCGUGGGGAUCAAACAGG